AUGGAAGAAGGAAUUGAUGAAACUAUGGGCUCAUUGGAUGAAAAAGAUGAUGAGGAGAGCGAAGAACAAAAGGAGGAAGAGCGAAUUAGCUACCCGUGCGCACCUUCUAGUGAGAGUAACUCUUCAACUCAUACAUUGUUUAAUUUCCCUUCAUGCUUACCGAAAGAUGAUUGCCAUGAUAAUUGCUAUGAUCCCAUUGAUUCGUUUGAAAUAUCCCUUUUUGAUGAACUUGAUGCUUGCUAUUCUUGUGGCCAAGAUGCCAACUUGAAUUAUGCUUAUGGAGAUGAACUUGCUAUUGUUCCUUAUGUUAAACAUGAAAUUGUUGCUAUUACACCCACACAUGAUAGUCCUAUUAUCUUUUUGAAUUCUCCAAACUACACUAUAUCGGAGAAGUUUGCUCUUGUUAAGGAUUAUAUUGAUGGGUUGCGUUUUACUACUACACAUGAUGAUUUUGAUAGAUAUAAUAUGCAUGUGCUUGCUGCUCCUACAUGCAAUUAUUAUGAGAGAGGAACUACAUCUCCGCCUCUCGAUGUUUCCAAUAUGAUAAAAUUGCAAGAAACUGUUUAUACUAUGCAUUGGCCUUUACUAUGUGUGCAUGAAUUGUUCUUGUAUGACAUGCCGAUGCAUAGGAAGAGAGUUAGAAUUCUUCAUUGCUUUAUAUAUGUUGCUUUGUGCUCACUACUAAAUUCCAAAUCAUUGUUAAUUAAAAUUGGCUUUGAUAUACCUUGGGAUCCGGGUGGAUCCAUUACUUGA
RNAcentral lists this ribosomal RNA (753 nucleotides) under Triticum aestivum (bread wheat). RNAcentral's name for it is "partial small subunit ribosomal RNA". Lineage: Eukaryota; Viridiplantae; Streptophyta; Magnoliopsida; Poales; Poaceae. The record is from RNAcentral.